GUCUACUCUGAAAUGAUUUUUCUAACUUGUCACUUAUUGUUCAUAUUAUUAAAUUCUAAAGCUAUUUAUUUAGCCUCACUAAAUCUAAGCUUUGUAAAGCUAUUCUUGCCGCAACUUGUCAAGUUUGUAAACAAUUGUCCUCCUAAUUGGCUCAUUUGAGCUAAUCUUAUAUUUAUGAUGAUAAAAAAAAAAAAAUCUAAGCUUUCAAAAAUUUAUUAUGCAAACAUUGUUUUCCCACAUUGGAAGCCAAUAAUUUUUAAUCAAUCUGUAAAUAAAAUAAAUCGGAAAAAAAUAUUCUAAAAUUAAUCUAUUCGAUUUGUUGUCAAAAAAAAAAAAGAAGAAAAAAUAUUUAACUUCUUUAUCUGAAAGUUUCAAAAUAUUUAUUGAAAGUUUGACUCUACUAUAUAAAAGAGUUU
Molecule: long non-coding RNA, 416 nt
Filed under: Capsella rubella
Lineage: Eukaryota; Viridiplantae; Streptophyta; Magnoliopsida; Brassicales; Brassicaceae
Description: long non-coding RNA (CRUB_LNC004320)
Source: RNAcentral